This is a long non-coding RNA of Salvelinus sp. IW2-2015, 827 nucleotides long. RefSeq lists it as uncharacterized. Lineage: Eukaryota; Metazoa; Chordata; Actinopteri; Salmoniformes; Salmonidae. The record is from RefSeq and is a predicted model, not a curated record.
UAYGUUGACCUAUUCCCUUGAGAUCAGCAAGACUAAAAUCAAACAAAUGAGAGAUGACAAUAAGAGAAAGUUGGUGGUUACAUAGUUCCCCCCACCUGAGUAUUAACCGCUGUGUGUUUGUGUUUGAGCGAGAGUCCAUGUGCACCUGUGGUUGUGUGACUGCAUGAUAGGUUCCAAGAAGUGCAUUCACAUGAUGUUUCUGUGAAUCUCUGAGGUAGAAGCCACUUCCUAGCUCUAGGACAGAAGUAGGGCAGGGCCCCUAAAAGGCGGGGGUAUCCUACAUCUUCUGACUCACUCCUGUGCCUCUGUUUGGUUAGGACUGGGGAUUCUCAAAUCAAAUGGGGGAAAAUCCAGGUGAGGUUUUACACAUCAAGAAAACAACCUCCAGCAUUGUCUUGUCAACCUAAAGAGUUUAACUUAAAAUCACACUUCAGCGAACCUGAAACCCCUCAUUGUGAAACGAAGUGAAGAGGAGCACCUUGGGUUUAUCAUCUCUAAGAAGCUAUGGAUUGGAGUCAGGUGUUGCAGUUCUUGCUCUUCUCACUCCUCUGUCUCAUUGGCAGCUCCAAGGCAGUAGGAGAGCUCUYUGUGGACAAAGGACGAGAGACUGAGCGGGUCUUUUCAGUUUCCGGUGAUGCUGCCAUGUUGACGUCCACCCUGGUGGACCUCAACAUGUUUGACAACCGCAGCAUCCCCUYUAACAUCUCAUGGUAUGACCCAAGGACUGGGACAGAGCUGACCAGGGAGACAGGAAAGACUCUGGUGCGGGGGAAGACACUCUGGAUUUUUAACAUCACGAUGGAGGAUGCUGGAGACUAUGUGUGUGU